Cyanistes caeruleus (blue tit) is the source of this 5541-nucleotide non-coding RNA. Lineage: Eukaryota; Metazoa; Chordata; Aves; Passeriformes; Paridae. The record is from RefSeq and is a predicted model, not a curated record.
AUAUAAUAUUAUGGAUCUUUAUUUUGUUUUGAUGCACAGACAUAUGCAAAUAACUUACAUUAGCAUGUUUAUGAGUGAAAUUUCAAUGGCAAGUUUAUUAAUAAAUCCUUGCAUAGUGUUCAGACUGAUAACAUUAGUUCCCUCUACCCUUUGAUUUGGGCAGCAAAUAAUUUUAUUUUUCUCCCCCUAGUUGUCAACUCUGAAUUGAUGACAGAUUGGAACAAAUAGCACAUGGCUGCAGAAUGCCUAAAGCUACAUUUUGUUGAUAAAUUGCUGGUUCAGAUCCAUUGUGGGUUGGGAAGUGAGCAGUGACCAAAGAUCACAUUGAAAGAUGCCUUACUGGUCUGUGAGAAAUAAGAUCCUAAUGUGCCCUGCAGCACAGGCACUUGGGGAGGGACACAGGCAGGGAGAAACUCAUGAGUAUGCUGUGUUUUACUUUCUCUCUAAAUAUCUUCUGGAAGAUGGCCUUGCUUUCAUUCACAGGCAGGGUUCACGAUGGCAGGGCCUGUGGCAGCAUGUGAUGUGAAACACAGGCUGCAGCGUAGUGGGGGUGUGAAGCUCACAUUAUUUGGCAAUGUGUUGCCUGUGAGAAGAAAAUAGGUACAGAGGCUGAAGCAUCUUUGUAAUCUUGAGCUGCACUGAGUCUGAGGAAAGCAUCCUUUUCCUCUGCAGACAGACUGGGGCCCAGCUGUUGGGAUUCCAGCAAAAAGUACAGGGGGUGCAGGCUGUACUGUCCUGGGAGACAGCAGGGAGUACGAUCUGGGACUGCUCUCACUGAAGGGCACUGCUGGCUGCCAAUGCCAGCCAUGUGCCAGGGAUGGAAGGGAGCAGGAGAGCUCAGGGACAGUGGUGCUGGGUGACUUGUGGUUGAGAGGAAACUGGUAACUAAAGAGAGCUCAGACAGAGCUCAAGCACCUGGACCACCUUUGUUCUUCAGUGUCCUGCUGUUUGUGCCCUUUUUAAAUAUAGACCCUUUGGAGUUUUGAAAAUGCUCUCUAUAACGGUUAAAGUUACAAGGGGAACAUUAUCACAGAUCUUCUAAAUGUGCUUUAAAAGUUUGAAGUUGUUGAGGUGUCCAGCUGAGGUGCUGCAUUAACAAAACCCUUACAGCUCAGGUUCUGUUUGAUAAAGCACUUGUGAGCACAAUUCUCUAACACCAACAGUGCUGGAAAAUAUUUGCAAACGCUUUGUUUGUACAACCUCUAAAUUCCAUAACAGCACAGAUACCCAGUAUAUAGCCUGAUAAGUGUUUCUCAUUCUAAGCUGGUUUCUUUCUUUGCUUGAGUAUGGAUCCCACACCCUGGAGAGAAAGCAGAGUUUACUGUUCAAUUAGAAAAUUUUAUUUUCUUGGGGGCAGCAUUGAUCUCCUGGACUGUUAUGUUAUCUCUCACUGUCUAAUCACAGAAAAUCUGUUGCUUGUACAGCAGGCCCCGACUGAGUGUCUUUUAAAAAGGCAGGAUAUUAUUUCUGUGUGUAGAAGAGGGUUUGGAACAACAGGGGUUUGCGUUUGGCAUCUUGCUGAUUAAACUUCGUCGAAAAAGACAAGUCUGCUUAGCCUAACUAGGAGAUAGAGGAAGGAAAGAGCCAAAGGGCAUUACUUUUUUUUUAUUGCAUAAUUGGACCUGAUUUGAUUCAAAAACAAUGGUGCACAGCUAUGAAUCAGGCAAUAUGCUACUGCCUUGAGCUACUUCUGCUGAUAUUCUGGUCAGAAAGUCAAGAAAGACAAUUAAUCCUCACCUCUGCUAUCUUGCUGUCUGUGGAGCAACUAACCAAAAAAAUAAUUAGCUAACAGUUUCUUACCUGAAACCAAAGUGAGAAUCCAUUUGAGAGUCCCUGUGACAGAUGCAUAAAAAAAAGGUUUGCUGUUCCUGAUUGCUCUAUCAGUCUGGAGAGUACCCAGAUUCCCUACACAGACCCAUGCUGUGGAUUGUUUGGGAGAAUGUCCAAAGGAGUUGGACUUCAGUGAUCUUUGUGGGUCUCUUCCAGCUCAGGAAAUUCUGUGAUUGUGUUUUCAUUCUGCCCCUUCACUUGUCAUCUUUAUUCUAAAGUUCCAGACGUGACCUUGCUUUUAAAUAUUUGAGUGAGUUUAGCCUCACACAGGAUGACAUUUCCCAGAAAAUAUAGCUGGUUAUCAAGAUCCCAGAGCAUAUGUGCUUCCUGGCAGUUGGCUGGUUGCUACUUCAUGGACAUCAAAUAGAAGAGGGGAAGUAGAAAUGACAGUUUGGAGUUUGCAAUUGAUUUGAUCAGUUUGCUCCUAGGGAUGAAGGACUUUAUGAAGAAGUUUGGCAAAACGAGGUUUGGGGAAUUUGAUGAGUGUUUGAGGAAAGUGCUGGCAAGCAGAUGGGCUAACAGCAAUAAAGGGGAACUGACAGUGUAAAUGAGUUAAAAAGAGCUAGGAGUGGGAGCACUGACCACAAAGAUGAGUGUGGACUAGAAAAAUCAGUGUGCUGUCAUCCCAGUGAUCCCUAGUCAGUCUCGUCCCAGGCUGAGAUACAGAUAUGCCAUGUUUUUUUCCUCUAUAAUGAGUUCUGCCAAGAAGACCAAGCAUUUGAAAAGCUUGGGUUUAUUAUAAGUCUAAGCCAGGAAAAUGAACAUGGUAAAACUGAAAUCUUUGGCUGUGGAAGACAAAAUAGGGCUUAAAAAGAGAUUGUGAGUAACUCUUCCCUAUGCUACUUCACGGGAGGUAAGUGCUUUCAGGCUCUGUCUCAUUCAGCUCUCCUGCCAGGUGAAUUUCAGGAGUGUUGGCCAGCUGUGCCUGCUCCCGGGUUCAUGCUGGGGACAUCCUGUGCGGCUGCUCUUAUCCUCAACCCUGCCGGAGGCUGUGCCGAGUUUCGCUCCGCCGCGGGAUAUCCCGGGCGGGAAGGGCCCCGGGAGCGCUUGGCCCAAGCCCCGCGCUCGGGACAGCGUUGCCGUGAGGGCAGGCCUGGAGGCGGCCGGGCUGGGCCCACAGGCCCGGAAAACCAAAGACGGAGCCUGCAGGGCUUCACCGCGAGCUGUCACUUCCCUGUUCCCGCUGGGGAAAGUGCGUGUGGGUGUCCCUGCCCCGGGAACAGCGCAGGGUAUUCUAAUGGAUCACUAGACCUGCAGGAGUGGCCAGGAAGCACCUCUGCCAGCUCAACCUGCCUCUAGGGCUCUUAACUCCAAAUAUUUGAAGGUGGCAAGAAAGUGGGUUCACGGAGCAUUCAAUUCAGUAGAUGAGUAUUCAUUCACUCAGUGAUGUUCUGAAGCAUUUUCUUGUCCAGCCACAUCACAGUUCACAUCAAAACAGAGUACCUAUAUUCACUGCUGAAGCUGAAGAAAUAUCUUCAAAUUGGAAUUCACCAUCAAUGCCCAUAGUACAACAGGGCCAUGUGGAGAGCACCAAUUUUUCACUUUAAUCUGUGCCAUAUACAAACAGGUGAAAGCCAACAGUGAAAACAUCUGGCUUCAGGGACAGAAAUUCUGACUUUUUCUGGGCUUAAACCUAAACCAGAGCGGGCAAGACAAGGUGAAGAUAAAAUCCCAGGGUCCUGACAUCGACUGUCCCUGGUGGUAGCCAGGAGCUCAUCCUCCUUCCUCGUACACAUUCUUCUGAACAAAUCUUGAAAGCAGAGAGCGAGAGGGCAAAGCAGGACAGGUCUCUGCGUUGUAUAAUGGUAUCCUGCACUCGACUUGUACCAGAAGAGUCAUUAAAGAUCAGAAGUGUAUAAACUCAGGAAAUCUCAGAAGAGGGAAGGUAUAAAAUUCUGUUCAGACACAACUCUUCAGACUCCCAGAAAAAAUUAUCAUGUCAUUAAGUUUCUACAGGUGAUAUCCCAGCCUCUUGUACCUACCUAAUGGAGUUUCCUUCUCAGUUUUCUGGAGAGAAAAUGCUGUCCAAAGCUUCAUGCUCUAAAUUCUCUUUGAAGCCAAAAUGCCACCCAGGAGGACCUUGACACAUGAACAAAUAAUAAUACAUAUAUUUCAGUGAGUGGAGAUGGGCAUCUUCAUUUGCAGUAUUGUUCUGAUUCCACUGUGUUAACUAUGGAUAUUUGAGGUUUUACCUGUCCUGACUUGGAGCAAACUGUUUAUUUUAAAAAGAAUUACACUUAAAACCCAGAUUUGGAUCUGUCCAAUCUGUUUUGACUUCAACUCUCUUAAAAGAUAAAUAAAAAUAUCUAGUGCAACAUCACCCUCUCCAAAUUUCUAAACUGUUGAGAUACUUGUGUGGCUAAACAAUGACAAUUUCCUGGAUGUGAGAUGGAAAUUUUAUUUAUACUAGGAAUGUUUUAAUGAGGGAGCGUUUUCAGAACUUUAUUUUUUGAUUGCGACAUUUCUGGUUGGUUAAAUUCUCUGCGUCAUCUAAUUUUUGAAUGAAAGGAUAUCUCUGUCAUUUUUAGAUUAGUGAUAUUUACAAAAUUGUGAUAUAUCUAAAUGCUGUAACACUUCUUGACCACAUCUAGGUGUUGAUGGAAACAGCUCUACAGUGCAGCAAGAAAUGUUUUUCAUCACCUCUAAAAUGACUUUGUCUCAGAAGUAUUGACUUCCAGUCUAAUCACUUUAGAAUGGUCUUCAACUGCACUUGAAUUAUCUGCACAUUUUGCAAUUGCUUAGUCUCUUCCUAUUUUCUCACAGAGAUUUUAUCAUAAUUAUUUCUCUUGUUUUUAUGAUUUUGAAACACUUGAUCUUCUGUAGCUUGCGCUGAUGUUCUCUUUCAGUCUGAAACAGGAAUCUUGAACCCCUAAAUGAUGCUUGUCCUCUCUGUUUACAGUUGCUUUAGUAUGUGUAUAGUUCAUGUUCUGGUUGGGCACUGCCACGGGUACCCUUCCUGACUAGCUCUAGGUGUGCACAUUUGACAGCUGAAAUCGUGCUCUGGUUGACAUUGAUCUCUCCAGCCUGUUAGGCAAGUCUGCUAGAUUCUAGUUUUAGUUUGUAAAUCCUUUCCUGACACUGAGAUCUAGGUCAGUGAUGUCAAACUUCAUUUGGUGACUUAAGUAGGCACCAGUGGCCAUGAGCUACAGUACUGGUGAAAAUUAAACUUAGCACCCCACACUAAAGUGUUCAGUGUAUCUGUCAUACUGUGAGAUAAUUGCUGCUGUUUUCUUUUGUAAUUACUGCACGUAAUUAGAUAUGACAUCAAAGCUCUCUUGAUCUCCAGCUAUUCAAUUUUAAUCACAAGGAGACUCUGUAAUGGUACAUCUCUUUUGGGCACCUAGUGCAAGUGAAAAUAACCUCUUGGAAGUUCAAAUGACAAAAUAUUUUACUCCCAGAUUCCCCAACAAGUGAGGGUCUACACUGUGGUGCUGUACAGGAACUCCUUGUUUUACAGCACCUUUACCAUGACUUUAAUUAAAAGUACAUAUGAAUUAGAGAUGCCUCUAAUUCCAAUUAGAGGUUGGAAUAUGUGAGUGAAUGAGCAGUAGUGGUUUAUACCAAUUUCCCUUGUUUCUUCCCUUAAUACUUUGGUCUGGAAUAUCUGUGGUACAGUGUGCCAAUUUUUUUUCUGUCUCCUAAACAUAUGAAUAUUCAGUCCAAGAUUGUCUGCUACAUGUCUGGUGCUUCUUCUAACACAUUUCCUUUGGG